UUAUAUUUGAGAGUUUGAUCCUGGCUCAGGAUGAACGCUGGCGGCGUGCCUAACACAUGCAAGUCGAGCGAUCUCUUCGGAGAGAGCGGCGGACGGGUGAGUAACGCGUGGGUAACCUGCCCUGUACACACGGAUAACAUACCGAAAGGUAUACUAAUACGGGAUAACAUAUAAAAGUCGCAUGGCUUUUGUAUCAAAGCUCCGGCGGUACAGGAUGGACCCGCGUCUGAUUAGCUAGUUGGUAAGGUAAUGGCUUACCAAGGCAACGAUCAGUAGCCGACCUGAGAGGGUGAUCGGCCACACUGGAACUGAGACACGGUCCAG
Molecule: ribosomal RNA, 324 nt
Filed under: Paraclostridium benzoelyticum
Lineage: Bacteria; Bacillati; Bacillota; Clostridia; Peptostreptococcales; Peptostreptococcaceae
Description: bacterial SSU rRNA
Rfam family: Bacterial small subunit ribosomal RNA
Source: RNAcentral